GAUGAAGAACGUAGCGAAAUGCGAUAAGUAAUGUGAAUUGCAGAAUUCAGUGAAUCAUCGAAUCUUUGAACGCACAUUGCGCCCGCCAGCAUUCUGGCGGGCAUGCCUGUUCGAGCGUCAUUUCAACCCUCGACUUCCCUUUGGGGAAGUCGGCGUUGGGGACCGGCCGUAUACCGCCGGCCCCGAAAUGAAGUGGCGGCCCGUCCGCGGCGACCUCUGCGUAGUAAUCCAACUCGCACCGGAACCCCGACGUGCCCACGCCGUAAAACCCCCGACUUCUGAACGUUGACCUCGGAUCAGGUAGGAAUACCCGCUGAACUUAAGCAUAUCAAUAAGCGGAGGA
Molecule: unclassified non-coding RNA, 343 nt
Filed under: soil metagenome
Description: partial contains 5.8S ribosomal RNA, internal transcribed spacer 2, and large subunit ribosomal RNA
Rfam family: 5.8S ribosomal RNA (bases 1-120)
Source: RNAcentral